CCGGCUCCGGUUCACCCGUUCACCAACUGGGACCCGGCGGCC
This is a regulatory RNA element of 42 nucleotides. It matches the Rfam family "L31-Actinobacteria ribosomal protein leader". The record is from Rfam.